UGGGCAGAUAGCUCAGUUGGUAGAGCAACGGACUCUUAAUCCGUGGGUCCAGGGUUCGAGCCCCUGUCUGCCCAUCC
Molecule: transfer RNA, 77 nt
Filed under: Streptococcus pneumoniae
Lineage: Bacteria; Bacillati; Bacillota; Bacilli; Lactobacillales; Streptococcaceae
Also listed under: 2 other names
Description: tRNA-Lys(ctt)
Rfam family: tRNA
About the family: Transfer RNA (tRNA) molecules are approximately 80 nucleotides in length. Their secondary structure includes four short double-helical elements and three loops (D, anti-codon, and T loops).
Source: RNAcentral